UAGCCUGUAAAAGUAGUAUGUAAUUGUUAGGAAUUUGGUUCGGCCUAACUUGGAUGAGUAGUUGGAAAUCCUGACUGAAUCAGACUUGGGGAAUAUACAAACACUGAAACACAUAGUCGGGCUUUGCUUGUUGUCAUAGACUAUGAAGCCGCAAUUCACUUCUGGAAGGUUGACAAGUUUGACUUUGUUGUCUGCAUGAGUGCCUAUAUCGGCGUCGUUUUUGGCAGCAUUGAAAUUGGACUAGUCUUAGCGGUUGCAAUAUAUGUGAUCAGGGUACUUUCGUUUGUGGCAAGGCCAAGGACUUUGUUCAAGGAAACCUUCCGAAUUCCAUGGUUUACAGAAAUGUUGAGCAGUAUCCCAAUGCAAUGUUCCUGGAAUUCUCGUACUUGAGAUUGAUGCUCCCAUUUACUUUGCAAAUACCAACUACUUAAGAGAAAGGUACUAAUUAAUUAAACCUGA
Molecule: non-coding RNA, 459 nt
Organism: Prunus avium (sweet cherry)
Lineage: Eukaryota; Viridiplantae; Streptophyta; Magnoliopsida; Rosales; Rosaceae
Source: RefSeq, a predicted model, not a curated record